GCAGAGAGGAGUUUCCAACCUCCUCCAGUCCCCUGCCAGGUAUCCUGAGCCUGAGAGCUCCUCAGAGCAUUGUCUGCAGUUACCUCCUCACUUACAGCCCAGACUGAGAUACUCACACUUGUGAUUGCCCAGGUGGAGGGGAGAGGUCAAACUCUUCCCAUGGCCUCCUUUCUCCUCUGUGAAAACUCCAGAUCUUUGCUCCUGAUUUUUUUUUAGUGUGUACCCUUUUGUAUUUCAGCUUCUCCCAGCCGAAAGAAUAAAACUGGUAAGAGGAAGGGAAAUGCAGCCUCAGUAAGGAGGCCUCCAUUCUGGAAGGGCUUCCCAGGCCCAGAGAAGGGAGAAAGUAAUUUGGAACCACCCAAGUAUUGGUGAUGCCAGGCCUCACCCUACCCUGGGGAUAUUUGAAUCUCAAAAAGGGAGCAUGGGAAUCUGACAAAGCACUUGCAUGUAUAAAGAACUCCUCCAAAUCAACAAGGCAAAAACCUCAUUAGAUACAUAGGCAAAAACCUCAGAAGAGCCACAUCACAAAGGAGCACCUCCAAAUGGCCAAGAAGCAUAUGAAAAUAUGUUCAAUCUCAUUAGCCAACAGGGAAUUCAAAUUAGAACUACACCAGGAUGGCUGAAAGUGCAAAGACUGACAAUAUCAAGGGCUGGUGGGGAUGCAGAACAACUGGAACUCUCCUAUGCACUGCGGAAGGGGUAAAUUAAUACCGCCCCUUUGGAAGAACAGUUUAGAAGCAUCACUAAAGCUGAAUAUAUUCAUGCCUACUCCGGAAAUCCUGAGCCCAGUGGCUCCCUUUGAAGAACUGCCUUGGGGUUCAUGUUGCAGCAUCAAACAGGGAUGGAAGAUGCAUCUUGCUUUAGCAGCAGGAGCCUGGAAAGCAGCUGAAGCCCUGGAGGGUGCCUGGCACACAGAAUCUUGUGCUGAGCCCGGAGCACAAUGGGAGCGGGCUGGCGGGGUGGGUUCACAGCUGGACUGGGAGCAGCAGACAUACAGGCCGUAGGCACAGACAUAUAAAGACAGUCAUGCAGAUUGCAGGAUGCCUGAGAGCACAGACUCUCACAUGCACAAAUACGUGCAUGAUCGCCAGUGUGCAUCCAGACAGCCCCACAUGCAUGCACACGCAUGCACACAUGUGAUGUGUACAUAGAUGGACACAUGUCUAUGCCCACAAACACUGCAGAGACACAGAAGUGUCUGGCAAGGAACACUAUUUUGUCCUCAAUUUUCUGCCAGUGAGAGUCUACUGACUCCAUCUCUGAAAUGUCUCUACUUAUUGUCCCUCUUCUCCACCUGCACCACAUCCCUAGUCCCUGAAACUCCCACCGAGACCCCUGGGCAAUAGCAAAGUCUGCACAGGAUUCCUGCUCCGCCUCUACCCCACCCUUAAGCCCAUCCUACAUGCAAGAGCAGGAGUUAUCUGGGUAUCAAGCAAAUCUGACCACAUCACCUCCCCACUGCUUAAAACCCUUUCCUACAGGAUGAAGUUGAAAUCACUUGACAUCCCAUAUAAGGCCCUUGACUGUCUGGCAUCAGCCAUAGUCUGGCCUCAGGCCCUGGCAUGGAGUCCCCUGGACUCAGUGCUCUGGCUGAGGGCCUCCAGGAUGAAGAUACCCUGUGCAAAGCCUCACACUUUUGCUGUUGCUGGGCUCACUGUGUGAAAUUCCCUCCUCCCUCCUUCCACCUUCCCUAUGCUGAACUGCCACUCCUCCAUCCUCCAUGGCCAGCUAAGCCAACACCUCCCCACUUCCUCCUGACAACCCAGGCACAGCCACUGACCUGUCCCAUGGCUGUCACAGCCCUUUCUUGGGCUCUCAAUGGUAUCAUUGUCACCUGUGUGCUCAUGAGCCUCUGCCACUCAACUCCAAGCACAUCAAAUAAAGAGCUCAAAACAUAUCGGAUACUCAA
RNAcentral lists this long non-coding RNA (1909 nucleotides) under Homo sapiens (human). RNAcentral describes it as "PREDICTED lncRNA (TCONS_00084817)". The record is from RNAcentral. Lineage: Eukaryota; Metazoa; Chordata; Mammalia; Primates; Hominidae.